GGGGUAGCGCAGGAUCCUGGGCUGUGUCUCCCCACACCUUGGGCUCCCCGGCCUGCGCUGCUGGAAUCGAUCCCGGGCCGCGCAGCCCCCU
Molecule: microRNA precursor, 91 nt
Filed under: Canis lupus familiaris (dog)
Lineage: Eukaryota; Metazoa; Chordata; Mammalia; Carnivora; Canidae
Also listed under: 1 other name
Description: mir-8799 microRNA precursor family
Rfam family: mir-8799 microRNA precursor family
Source: Rfam by way of RNAcentral